Molecule: ribosomal RNA, 440 nt
Filed under: uncultured bacterium
Lineage: Bacteria
Description: bacterial SSU rRNA
Rfam family: Bacterial small subunit ribosomal RNA
Source: RNAcentral
UACGGAAGGCAGCAGUGGGGAAUAUUGCACAAUGGGCGCAAGCCUGAUGCAGCCAUGCCGCGUGUAUGAAGAAGGCCUUCGGGUUGUAAAGUACUUUCAGUCGUGAGGAAGGUGUUAAGGUUAAUAACCUUAGCAAUUGACGUUAGCGACAGAAGAAGCACCGGCUAAUUCCGUGCCAGCAGCCGCGGUAAUACGGAGGGUGCGAGCGUUAAUCGGAAUUACUGGGCGUAAAGGGCACGCAGGCGGUUAAUUAAGUUGGAUGUGAAAUCCCCGGGCUUAACCUGGGAAUGGCAUUCAAGACUGGUUAGCUAGAGUCUUGUAGAGGGGGUUAGAAUUCCAUGUGUAGCGGUGAAAUGCGUAGAGAUGUGGAGGAAUACCGGUGGCGAAGGCGGCCCCUGGACAAAGACUGACGCUCAUGUGCGAAAGCGUGGGGAGCAAAC